AACUUCAUGGAGUGACAGUAUCGUAGCCAAUGAGGUUUAUCCAAGGAGCGAUUAUUGCUAAUUGAAAACUUUUCCCAAUACCUGGCCGUGGCAACUUGCAAUAUAGUUGACAUUGGCAAUUUUUGACAGUCUCUAUGGAGA
Molecule: small nuclear RNA, 141 nt
Organism: Symphalangus syndactylus (siamang)
Lineage: Eukaryota; Metazoa; Chordata; Mammalia; Primates; Hylobatidae
Product: U4 spliceosomal RNA
Source: RefSeq, a predicted model, not a curated record